Molecule: ribosomal RNA, 253 nt
Filed under: uncultured prokaryote
Description: partial 16S ribosomal RNA
Rfam family: Bacterial small subunit ribosomal RNA
Source: RNAcentral
UACAGAGGUCUCAAGCGUUGUUCGGAUUCAUUGGGCGUAAAGGGUGCGUAGGCGGCGCGGUAAGUCGGGUGUGAAAUCUCGGGGCUUAACUCCGAAACUGCAUUCGAUACUGCCGUGCUUGAGGACUGGAGAGGAGACUGGAAUUUACGGUGUAGCGGUGAAAUGCGUAGAUAUGACAUAGAACACCAAUUGCGAAGGCAGCUCACUACGGGAUCAUUGACACUGCGGCACGAAAGCGUGGGGAUCAAACAGG